CACUAAGAAGCUUUGAUAGCAUUAACCUUUUAAGUUGAAGAAGAAAUAUACUUUCCUUGGUGA
This 63-nucleotide transfer RNA is filed under the name Orientocoluber spinalis (Slender racer). Its description in RNAcentral is "tRNA-Lys". Lineage: Eukaryota; Metazoa; Chordata; Lepidosauria; Squamata; Colubridae. The record is from RNAcentral.